GAAAACCAACAAGUUGGUCCAAAGGAAUUGCAGAAGAACAUCAAAGAUAAGUUCAAGAUAGAUUUACCAUACAUGAGGUUGUUCAAUGGUAAACAACAUGCUAUGGAUUCUAUUUAUGGUAACUGGAAGGAAAGUUUUCAAUUGUUGUAUUCAUUCAAAGGUGAAGUGGAGAGGACAAGCCCAGGUAGUAUUGUAGAUAUUGAUCACCACACCGUGGAGUACACAUUCAGGGGAGUCACAAAGACCAAGGAAUGCUUUAGGAGGGUUUUUGUCUGCUUUGAGGCUUGUCGCUGGGGUUUUUUGGCAGGCUGCAGGCCUUAUUUGGCUAUUGAUGCCACUUUUCUCACAGGGAGGUUUAAAGGACAGUUAGUAGCAGCUUGUGCAGUUGAUGCACACAGUUUUGUAUUUUCAAUUGCCUACGGUGUGCUGGAGACAGAGUCUGAGGAGAGUUGGACUUGGUUUUUGCAUAAUCUGCGCCGGGCUAUUGCACAUCCCAAUGGGUUGGUCAUUCAUACAGGUGCUUGCAAAGGUUUAGAAGUGGUCAUGGAAAAUGUGUUCCCUGAGGUAAAGCAUAGGGAAUGCAUGUGUCACCUUGCUACAAAUUUCAUGAAGAAAUUCAAAGGAAAGGUGUAUACCGACAAUUUAUGGCCAGCAUCUUUGACUUGCAGUGUGAAGAAGCACAACUACCACUUGAGGCAGUUAUACAUGAAUCCCAAAGUGAAAGAAUACUUGAAAACACACCACUCCAAGUUAUGGGCCAGAAGCCAAUUCAGUGAACUGAGCAAAGUUGACUAUGUGCACAAUAAUCUAGCAGAGUCUUUCAACUCAACGAUUCGGAAA
RNAcentral lists this ribosomal RNA (840 nucleotides) under Triticum aestivum (bread wheat). Its description in RNAcentral is "partial small subunit ribosomal RNA". Lineage: Eukaryota; Viridiplantae; Streptophyta; Magnoliopsida; Poales; Poaceae. The record is from RNAcentral.